Molecule: long non-coding RNA, 3200 nt
Organism: Musa acuminata AAA Group (dessert banana)
Lineage: Eukaryota; Viridiplantae; Streptophyta; Magnoliopsida; Zingiberales; Musaceae
Exons: 4
Source: RefSeq, a predicted model, not a curated record
UAGCUACGGACGGUUAUCAAAUGUGGAUCAUACUAUGAUCCGAAAAAUGGACGGAUGGGAUCAUCUGAUAUCUGCGACGACUAAAAUGGAAGAGCCAUUAGAAAUCUCGUUCGGCGGCAAGGCAAUUGCAACCCUAAUCGAAUCGAACACCACCCAUUCCGACCGAUUCGUCCUCGAACAGCUCUCCGACCUGCUCAAAAGUCGACCUUGGAUAGCGUUCAUGGCGUCCAAUGACCCGAAAAUGGACAUGAAUCUCCAAGUUCAGAUCCAACAUUCUGUUACGAAGAAGAAAAAGGUUUCGGUGAGAACAUCUUGAUUGACCAGUAAAGAAACUCCAGAGAUGAAGCAACAAUAGUGUCCGAGAGAAUCAUCUGCGUCUACUUCAAGAGAUGGCUCCAAUUUACCGCACAGCAUGGUAGCAAAUUAUGGGCCCUUAAUUCUCCAGAAGAAAUGCUCUGCAGCGCUUGAUCUUUAUGUAGGCGAGAGUGUGUUCAUGCUGGAAGGAUGUGACUGUUACAACACUGCCGUCUCAGCAUUUGAAGCUGUGGAUCAUCAAAGUGUCCACCUUCAAUGUCACAGCUCGAUGGACUUCCACCACCAACGUUUAGCAUGCGCCAGAGUGCUAGAACUCAAACGAAACUGUUCCUCUUUCACUUCAGCUGACGAACUGUUUUGACUUCAGAUUUGGAGCCCACAAGAAGUCCCUAAAGGUGUUGUACUGGAACUUUCAUGUUUCUGAUGAGUGCAGAUAAAAUUUCAGAUGGGAGAUGCGGGUAUCAAUUAGAACAAAUCGAAACCAGAGUCGUGUCAGAUUAGAAGCUCAUUGUAUAGAUGAUUGAAUUAGCAAAACAAAUGAAGAAAAAGCAGUUCCAAGUCUCACCGACAGUGGUGGACUAUCUCCUGCAUUAAUCCUUUCAAAGACCAUUAUUACUCCUCUGAAUCAGCCAGAAUCUUGCCAAGCCCAGAAUCUCCUUUCUAAGAAUUUACAGUGGAAGAAGAAAGAAAGCAGUAGGCAGUAGCAGUAUUACUCAAAUUCAAUCCCCUGAUGCAAUAAAGGUGCCACAAAGGACUAAAGGUAGCUGCAACACAUGACAGCAAUCCAACUUGUACUUAUCUGCAUGAUAGAUCCAGUGCCACAAGGCAUGGGAAUUUUACAUGGCUACAAGAUUGAUUUGGGGAUGAAGUGCAAGGAUGUCAAAUUCAGUGAGAUGAAAAGGAGACUUAAACUAAUCUACACUCUUUCAAGUGAGCAUAUGCUAAGCUAUCUGACAUGUAGGAAGCUUAAGUUCAGGUAAAUAAAGAGUGGUCCUUGUGGUUGUGUUCUUCACUCAGGGAAUGGUCCUUGUAGUCAUGUUCUUCACUCAAUGGGUAGAGAUCACUCCUCUCUUUCUCAAGUUCUACAUCACAGUCCAUCGAUCACCAAAGUUCACACUAGGGACCAUUGCUACAUUCCAUGUCAUUUCAUGGUGGUCCAGAUUGUUUUUCCUGUUGCUUUCUUAGAAGUGCUGCUCUCCGUCGAGAACCAAUCAAGCUUUACUUAUGAGUGGAGGCAGCUCAUGACAAGAAAUAGGAAAAACUUAAGGAUACUUUUACUUCCGUAUGUGUAAGACUUCUUACCAAGAACAAAAGCUUUUUGAGCCUAAGAGAAAUGGUCAUGAAGUGAGGUAGCAUUCCUUCCUACUGAGAUCAUAAUCACAGACUGAUGAAAGAUUUCUGCUUUCCUUGUUUGGGUUUAGAAUUCUAGUUCGACGGUUGGCUCCACCUAUCAUGAUUGCUAUCAUUGAUACCACAUGUGAAUUCGGGAUGGAUGAGAGGCUCUUCUCUGUUGUCACCAGCAAGAUUGGCACUACUUUGUUGGCUUGGACCCUACGAUGCUACUGAGGUUGGAAGAUGUUUCUUCCAUACUACCUCUACCAACUUUUGUGGAAACUGUUUCAGUAGAAUGUUAGAGGUUAUAUAAAGAGAGCCAGAGCUGGGAGGAGAUGAAUAUCCAAUACAGGCCUUCAAACCAAGGGCAAUGGAGUCUCCAGCUUCAGAGUUGCUUGCCGGAGUGAUGAGCAUUUGGAAGAUGGGUUGUUCAGGGUGGAGAAGCAGGGCACGUGCAUCCAUAGCACAUAUUCCUGCUCGCAAAAUGAAGAGUUGUGCCUGUCUUCAUGUGCUCAUCUUCUCCACCAUGCACAACCAAUCUUAUAACUACGAGAAUGAGUUGGUCUGCAGGAUUGGCAAACUUGAAGUCACAGUUGGUCGCUUCACCAUUGCAACCAUGAUCUCUUGUUCAAAUCCCAGUCUCUGUAGGAUGUGAACCAAGGCAUAGUUCAAAUGACAAAUAUAUGCCUCUUUUUAUUAUAUAUCAUUUAUAGAUUUCGUCAAGUUCAGGUUAUGCACUCAUGAUCUUUUGCUCAGUCAAUUCCUCCCAUAUUAAGCACUUCAAAAACCAAAGUUGACUUGGAUUGAAGUUCAAGUUCUGCUAUCUUAUUGAAAUCUUUGGAGGACUAACAUAGUGAGGAUAAACAUCAGAGUUAAAUGGAAUGUGGUGGUGGCAGCUGUUGAUGUAUUAUUGAAAGGAAAACGAGUCUUCUUUCACAAUCAUUCUAUCAAUGGAGAAUUCAUUCUUUUUAGAAGUUGGAUUUGUUAGGUGAUUACAUAACAAUCCGAGAUUCUUCUAAAGUAUCUCAUAUUAAUUUUGUGAUCACAUAACUUCAAGAUGCUCCACAUCAAAAAUUUUGCGAUUGCGAUCAACUAAACAUUGUUUGAGAUGCUCUACAUUCAGUCACAAGAGAGAAAGAGAAUGAAGCAGGAUGCCAAGAACAAUAACAUCUGUUGUUAGAUUUCAUCAUGAACAAUUUGGAUUUCACAAUUGUUUGACUAAUCCAAUUCCAGAAAUGGAAUGCACCAAGAAACAUCAGCAAGGUUUCAUAAGCAAUGAUGAAGGCUUUAAGUCAAUGGAAAGAGAAGAUGAACUACUUGUUCCUUCAGAGAUUUGGUUUCAGUGAGGAAGUGUUAAACAUGAAAAGUCUUUCCUUCAAGAAAAGUGCAUAUUAGAGCUUCAAUAAACUUUUACUAUGAUAUGUUCAUUGGAUAUGGAACAUGAGAGAACACAGUAGGAAUUAAACAGAAGUUAAUUGUUCUCCCUUGCUCUAUACAUAGAAGAUAAAUCCUGAAAAUUGCAGUUAAAGGUAAAGUUUCAUGCCUCAUUCUAA